ACUUUUAAAGGACAGAAG
This 18-nucleotide transfer RNA is filed under the name Testudo graeca zarudnyi. RNAcentral's name for it is "partial transfer RNA-Leu". The record is from RNAcentral. Lineage: Eukaryota; Metazoa; Chordata; Testudines; Testudinidae.